GUGCUUGCUUCGGCAGCACAUAUUGUAGAAUUGGGAUGAUACCGAGAUUAGCAUGGUGCCUGCACAAGGAUGAUGCACAAAUUCAUGAAAAGUCCAUAUUUUUU
Molecule: small nuclear RNA, 104 nt
Organism: Choloepus didactylus (southern two-toed sloth)
Lineage: Eukaryota; Metazoa; Chordata; Mammalia; Pilosa; Megalonychidae
Source: RefSeq, a predicted model, not a curated record